RNAcentral lists this ribosomal RNA (253 nucleotides) under uncultured bacterium. RNAcentral's name for it is "partial 16S ribosomal RNA". It matches the Rfam family "Bacterial small subunit ribosomal RNA", at positions 524 to 776 of the family's 1533-position model. The record is from RNAcentral.
GACAGAGGGUGCAAACGUUGUUCGGAAUUACUGGGCGUAAAGCGCGUGUAGGCUGCUCAGAAAGUCGGAUGUGAAAGCCCUGGGCUCAACCGAGGAAGUGCGCCCGAAACUGCAGAGCUUGAGUACCGGAGAGGAUGGCGGAAUUCCCCAAGUAGAGGUGAAAUUCGUAGAUAUGGGGAGGAACACCGGUGGCGAAGGCGGCCAUCUGGACGGAUACUGACGCUGAGACGCGAAAGCGUGGGGAGCAAACAGG